This is a small nuclear RNA of Octodon degus (degu), 161 nucleotides long. Its record names the gene U1. It matches the Rfam family "U1 spliceosomal RNA". From Rfam's summary of the family: U1 is a small nuclear RNA (snRNA) component of the spliceosome (involved in pre-mRNA splicing). Its 5' end forms complementary base pairs with the 5' splice junction, thus defining the 5' donor site of an intron. The record is from Ensembl. Lineage: Eukaryota; Metazoa; Chordata; Mammalia; Rodentia; Octodontidae.
CUACUCACUGACAGGGGAGACACUAUGAUCGCGAAGCUGUUUUUUCAGGUUGAGUCUCAUCCAUUGCUUCCAGAUGUACCAACCCCUGUGAUUUCUCCAAAAUCAGGAAACUUGACUGCAUAAUUUUGUGUAGUAGGGGACUGCAUUUGAGCUUCUCCUUG